UACGAAGGGGGCUAGCGUUGCUCGGAAUCACUGGGCGUAAAGCGCACGUAGGCGGAUUGUUAAGUCAGGGGUGAAAUCCUGGAGCUCAACUCCAGAACUGCCUUUGAUACUGGCGAUCUUGAGUCCGGGAGAGGUGAGUGGAACUGCGAGUGUAGAGGUGAAAUUCGUAGAUAUUCGCAAGAACACCAGUGGCGAAGGCGGCUCACUGGCCCGGUACUGACGCUGAGGUGCGAAAGCGUGGGGAGCAAAUAGG
RNAcentral lists this ribosomal RNA (253 nucleotides) under uncultured bacterium. RNAcentral's name for it is "partial 16S ribosomal RNA". It matches the Rfam family "Bacterial small subunit ribosomal RNA", at positions 524 to 776 of the family's 1533-position model. The record is from RNAcentral.